RNAcentral lists this long non-coding RNA (3963 nucleotides) under Gallus gallus (chicken). The record is from RNAcentral. Lineage: Eukaryota; Metazoa; Chordata; Aves; Galliformes; Phasianidae.
GGGGAAUCGUGUGCCAUAUCUUCCUGCUUUCCAAUCCAAGAUGCCAAAGUCUACCGGAGCACACAGUUGACUAGUAUAAAAUGAUACAUGCAGACCAGAAGUGGAAUACAUAUUGAUCAGAAGUUGAGUACGUGCUGACAAACCACCUCAAAAAAAACACAGUAACUCAGUUGGCUGGAUCCAUAUGGAGCUGAUGAACCUCUGAAUGAAUAGUGAAUGGAAAAACUGCUGGAAUCUGCCUUCAGCUUUGUUCCCAGGAUGACCAAUGUAAAAGGCCUAAGAGCAAUACUGCACAGAUGGUGUAAAGAGGUAAGAAAUCUGCAGGGUUUAGUUUACUUUUUCUUAUCCUACGUUAUUUGGAGUUUUAUUUUAUUUUUUAGCUAUAGUGCAGUUUCUCCAGCUCUAUUUGUUUAAAUGUCUUUACUUACAAAAAAUGUAAAAAAAAAAACCCAAAACAGAACAGCUUUUGGGAAAUGAAAUCUAAGAGUAUAUGUAGCACUGAACAUUUACAUAAAAAUACAAUCUAAAACAUUGAAUUUUGUACGGUAUAGAAGUAAUUGAAAGCAUAAUUAUGAAAUAGUGAAAAAGGCUGGUUAAAAUUUAACAAAGAACUUUGGAAUUACUUCUUCAAUUCACCCUAUGUUGUGGGAAUAUGCAGAUGUUCACAUUUACACAGUCAUGUAUGUCCACUAGGGUUACAUGCUUUUAUAGUCUGAAGCAUCCUCACAAGUGCCAAUACAGUAAAUCAAAAGACUCUCUGGCAUUAUCUAGUUUCCUUUCUGGCUUUAAAAGUUAGAACAGAUGUCACAAGAGAGGACAAAAUGGAUUUUACCCACCGAGAGGAGCUUUUCUUGCCAUCAUUAAUAGGAGGCUCCUUGAAAUGCUAAUGUACACAGUUUGUGUUGCCGGGUUUGCAUAGAGAUGGUGGGAAACAGCUCUGAUCCCAACAAAACCUUUUGUUAUUAAUCAAGAAAAUCUGCUCUUCUGAAACAGCAAAGCACUGAAAUGGUGUGGCUACUUGCAAUGCAGAGAUCUCUAUAGCAAUCUCCAAUGAACAAAAAUGUAAUAAAAACUGUUCUACGAGAUACGGCACAUGUAGCAAUUUAUUUUCAGUGAUUUUGCAUACAAACUUUCUCCUUUCCUUUGUCAUUUCAGCACGGAUAUUUACAGUUGAAAGAAUAUACUGCUUCUCUAUUUCUUCUGAAUCUCCACUCUUUAAAAUGUUCCAUUUCGUAGUAAAUCUAAAAAGCAAGCUUGGCUCAAAAAGAACUUUGAAAAGCAGGCUUUUUCUUCUUGAGAAAAAUGUAUCACGGAGCAUGAGUUUAUGUUUGAUUUGCUGGUAAUACCAUGUAAGAUAUUUUUACUUCAUUAGAAUAUAGGAUUAUGAGAUCUUGAGAGCCCUUUAUCAGUACAAACAUCCUCUGCAAUAUCAGGGCUAGUAUGCUCCAGCUUUUCUAAAUGGGACUUAGUAAUUUUUAGUAAUCUUUACAAGAAGCGGUUCAGACCUUGGCAUUGCAUAGUGACAUAUGACCUCCUAUUUUUAAGUAAUACCUACGCAAUUAAAUCUGCUGUCAGCAUUCAUUGCCUUGUUUAGGAUGCCUCAGCUGAAUCCUUUCCCAAAAGUACUUGAAAUAUGAAUUGCAGCCAAAAAUGAAGGGAAAGCCUGAGUUAAAGUGUAAAUUCUUUGCCUAGCAUUACUCAUCACUGGAAUCUCUGGCCCAGUGUCUGAUCAGAGCUACAUUAAAUUCCCUAUCAGUUUAUCAUGCACCGGUUCCACAGCACACUGAUGAGUCCUUUCACCGAUUCAUUGUGCUGAGACCUCAGGAUACAGCCACAGGAGAAUGAACUGGGGAUGAAGCAUUAGCUCAGGGUUUAAGCCUCUUUUAAUUUCCUUGCCUCUGUGGAUCUAGAGCGUAGAUUAUUGUGGUUUAAUUUCCAUUGUGUUUUUAACGGCGGUAUUAAACAGGUAGUAAAAAUAAAUGAAAAUAACUUGUCAUGAUUUGUGCAAGAUGUUUGAGAUGGCCAUUGGGUUGUUAUGGGAUAAUACGGCCUAUGCUGUAAAUUUUAAGAGGAAGCGUUUAUUUGCUCACAGAUCUGAUACAUAUUUGUUAAAGACAGUGGGGAAGAAAAGAGCGGGAUAAAACGGGUUGGGGAGUUCAUGUGAGAAAAGCUGCUGAAAGAUCAGUGAUUCCAUCACCGAGGAGCUGUUUCACGGGUAAGAAAUACUGUAACAGGCAAGCAGGGAAAAACAAAGCUGUAAGAAAGCUUUGAAGUCGGAAGUGCCUUUGGCAUCGUCAGAGGUGAUAGGUGAAGCGACCAAGCCUAUCUCCACAUACUUCCUGCAGAAGGAUUAUCCAUUCUUUUAAGCUUCCAUGUGUAGAAUUUUUCCCAUUCCCCUUUUUCCUUUCAACUUCACAGCUACGCUUCCGACUUCAUGGGAGCUGUCCCUCACAGGGCUGCCGUGUGCCCGCCGUGUUCCGUCCCCCGCUGCCACCGGGCCUCCACCACCUCUGCUGCUAAGCAAAGCACCUCUGGCUUCCCCUGCGGGUGUGGCCAGAUUAACUUGCAUGAGGCUGUGCUGGAAAUCCCGCCUGGCAUGGAGGGGGUACUGUUCAUCCAAAAUAACAUGCAACAACAACAAAAAAUCCUACAGAGCGUGCUUAGUGGGACCUGCUAGGGCUUUUGUCAGGGACUAAUGACUUUGACCUCACUCUUCGAUCCCUCAGCACAGAGGUAAGGAUGAAGACUAUUCUAGGGAAAAAUGUUGAUUAGGAGGGCUGAACCUUUCUGUGUCAGCAAGAUUUCCUACAAACCCCCUGUCCUAAAAGCACUGACAAAGGAAAGCUGUGGAGCACAGAAGUAUUUAAGGUGUGCUGUCUGUGUGAGAACUUCUGUCUAUCUACUUGUAAAGUUUCUGUGCUGUAACAACCGGCAUUUUGCUCAAAAAUGGUCAAAUAUCUCAAAAUGCCUCAAAAUUCUGUAGAAGCAAAAAUGUAUACAGCUCAACCUGGCUGAAAUCUAUAGCUCAGCUUAUCUUGCUGUACUGUGAGCUAAAGUGAUAUACAGGUAGUUUGAAAUGCAUCCGUGAAGCAAUUUUUGGAUAAACUGUCUUUUAAACCAAUAUAAAUCGUCUGUGUGGAUGCUAGACCAGAGGAUUUUCAUCACGGAUUAAAUGUUAACUGACUACUUCCCUGUAUAAUCCUUGCCAAAUUUUGUUCUCACUUCCUCGGGUUCUAAGUAGCUUUUCUGCAUUUGAAAUGAUUAUUCUAAAUUUGCACCAGUUUAACAGACCAAAAUUUAGCUUUAAGGAGUGUGAUCUUCUAUUAGUGUGUUUAUAAAGUUUGGGGCUAAGAUUCUGGAAGAGGUGAGUCCGGUUCAGGUGUGAGCCCUUUUUAUACACUGCAUUGUAGGGAAAUCUUGUCGAAGGAUUUAUGUACUGAAAAAUGGGUGUGAGCUGAUAUCGAAUCAAAACUUUUCUUUUGUUCCUUCGAUAACGUUUUAUGGCCAGGCUAAAUAGGCAAGGUGCAAGGAGGAAAUACGAGAAGCACGGCUCCAAGCAGUAAGUGUUUAUAAGAUCGAGUUCCUUUUUGUGGAGUUACAAUAAUACUUUUACAAGUCAGGCUGUAUAUGUAAAUUAUUUAGGGAUAGAUCUUCCAUAGGGUUUCUAAAAUGAAGCCAGUAUUUAUGAUAUGAGGGCCUUUGAGCUUUAGAAAUCCGUACAUGGGCAAGCAGCAAAAAAGGUCAACCUUCUUGUGUAUUUAAAUCAGACUCCAAAUUACUGUGAGUCUUGCAUUAUUUCUGCUUUUUCUGUGUUGGCUUUUUUUUUUUUUUCCCUUCUUUAAACUUCCAUAGUCAGGUAGCACCCUGCAAACUGCGUUGAAUCCAACACCUAAGAUAGCCUUAUAAACCCUGCGGACAUUAAACUACUGGAAAACAGAUUGGGUUGGUAAAAAUAAGUGUGCA